UGCACUUCUCUGGAAGAUAUCCAGAUAUCCAGCGCCGACACACAACUUAUAAACAUAAGUUGGUGUCGGUUAUGCUGGAUGAAAUCCAGAAAAGCAUUGCUGCCAUUAAGGAGGAAGUGGUCACAAUAAUAUUAUUUAUAAGGAUAGUAGAUAUAUUGUUGAUAAAUACCGAUGAAGGUGAUGUCAGAGGCGAAUUGAUGGAACCACUUGAGAACUGCAAUUUUAUUAAACCUGAAGGAGAGGCCUGUUCCGGCAACGGCUACCGCCAAGAAGCCCAAAAGUACCUCCAGAAACAUAUUAGCUUAUGCAAACAAGCUCGACAAUACUUUAAACGUGGCAACACCGAGAUCCCUAUUUUUUUCUGGUUUGGCGGGCAUUCAAACUAUUUACUAUCAACGGGCCAAGAGUAGAGCAGCUACAGAAAUUUUGAAAGAGAAUUCAAAGAGAGUACAAGAUUUCAAUACGCUGGAUCUGCACUUCUUGUAUGUUAAAGAAGCGCUGCCUUCGUUAGACGAUUUCUUGGACAAAAACAUUAUCCUUCUAAGACACUGUGCGUUAAAAAGUACAGAUUUGAAGAUAAUCACUGGCUGGGGGAAUAACAAUUCUGGCAAACCAAGGCUAAAACCUGCGGUUCAAGGUCACUUCAGGAAACGCCAUCUACCCUCGAAGGGGAGGCCUUUUCGGGUAACGGCUACCGCCAAGAAGCGAAAAAGUACUGCCAAAAAUGUACGAGUUUGCACACAAAAUCUCGACAGUACUUUCAACGCGGCGAAACUAACAUCGGCAGGUUUUAUUCAACUUUAGCAGCCAAACAGAUUGUUUACACCGAAAUGGCCAAUAGUAGAGCAGCCGAAGCAUUCCUGAAAGAGAAUGCACAGGGAUUGAAAGACCCUGUGCAUACAAUCGACCUUCACUUCCUCUACGUCAAAGAGGCUUUAAAAUCGGUAGAUAAUUUUUUGGACACUAACAUUAGCAUUCUUAGACGGAGGUCACCUAAAGCAAAACACCUAAAAAUAAUUACCGGCAGAGGGAACAAUAGCGAGGGGCCACCCAAGUUAAAACCUGCAGUUCAAGGCCACUUGGUGGCAUCACGUCAUCUAAAGACUACAACCAGAAUAAUAACAACAAGAACCUUGAAAACUAGAAAGUGUGAGUACAGGUACAAUUAUUUUUAGUAAGCCUCUUCUCAUUUUAACUAUCAUUGUUUCUUAAGUCUUAAACAUUGUUUGUUCUAUUUUUUUAAAAGCUUUUAUGUUAUGAUUUUUAUUUUUAUG
This is a long non-coding RNA of Sitophilus oryzae (rice weevil), 1274 nucleotides long. RefSeq lists it as uncharacterized. The record is from RefSeq and is a predicted model, not a curated record. The transcript has 4 exons. NCBI's taxonomy places the organism in Eukaryota, Metazoa, Arthropoda, Insecta, Coleoptera, Curculionidae.